UGUAAGCAGGUUAUGGGGAAAGGGUAGUUAAUUGUGGAGUAAUGUUUUCAGAGGGUGCACGGAGGAGAUGUGAGUUGCAGAAGUAGGAGGCUGGGUCAGAAGAGAAGCAGCACAGACCUAGGAAAGGGAGUAUGUGAGAAGAUGAGUGUCUAGUUCACAGCGAGAAAAGCCAACCUUUGCAGAGAUGUGAGGGUGGAAAGGAACAGUUCAGGGCUUUCAAGGAUAACUCACCAGGGGGUUUCAGGGAAGAUUCUACUACAAGCAGCUGCUUAGCCAAAGAUUUAGAUGCAACCUAUUUAUUAAAACCGUGCUCCCAGGAAAAAACAGUGAGGGAGUGGGGGAAGCCAGUGUAAUGGGUGGUAUGAAAACAUAACCCAGCUGAGCCAAUAACAUGCAAAAAGUUGUUUGCUUGGACUUCUGGGAAACAAACUUCUCAUCAAAAGGUGCUGGCUUGAACUGCUUUUCAUCGGGCUUUGGUGGUGUGUCAGGCCUGAGACUUCCGCAGCCACUUUGUUACCAUAAGUGGAGCAAGAUUGUAUAUCGAGCAGACACAGAGAAGCCGAAGCAGAGACAUGGGACCUGAUAAGAAUCCGUCCCUGUCACCCCUACCUGAAACUGGAAAGAGCGGGCAUAAACCAGGUUAAGAGAACAGAAGGAGAAGUGGCCAGCUGGGCUGGAGGACCUGAGGAGAGCCAGUGUGCCCAGAGGAGAGCAGUACAGAUGGGGAAGGCAGGCGGUGAUGGCCGUGGCACCAGUUCCCCAACACACUGAUGGUUACUUUGUCAAAAGAGUUGAGAAUCACUGAUCUUUAUGAGCAAUGGCUUUGUGAAAUCUAUUAUUGCUCUUGGCUGCAGCAGCUGUGUGUAACUUCA
Molecule: long non-coding RNA, 872 nt
Organism: Hipposideros armiger (great roundleaf bat)
Lineage: Eukaryota; Metazoa; Chordata; Mammalia; Chiroptera; Hipposideridae
Exons: 3
Source: RefSeq, a predicted model, not a curated record